UUGGAGGGCAAGUCUGGUGCCAGCAGCCGCGGUAAUUCCAGCUCCAAUAGCGUAUAUUAAAGUUGUUGCAGUUAAAAAGCUCGUAGUUGAAUUUCGGGAUCAAUGGAUUGGUCAUGCCGUUGGUAUGUACUGAUUUUAUUGAUUCUCACCUUCUAAAGAAUCAUAAUGCCAUUAAUUUGGUGUUGUGAGGAAUUAGGACUGUUACCUUGAAAAAAUUAGAGUGUUUAAAGCAGGCUUACGCUUGAAUACAUUAGCAUGGAAUAACGAAAUAGGACAUCGCAUUCUAUUUUGUUGGUUUCUAGGAUCGAUGUAAUGAUUAAUAGGGAUAGUUGGGGGCAUUAGUAUUCAAUUGUCAGAGGUGAAAUUCUUGGAUUUAUUGAAGACUAACUACUGCGAAAGCAUUUGCCAAGGAUGUUUUCAUUAAUCAAGAACGAAAGUUAGGGGAUCGAAGACGAUCAGAUACCGUCGUAGUCUUAGCCAUAAACUAUGCCGACUAGGGAUCGGAUGAUGUUAAUUUUUUAAUGACUCAUUCGGCACCUUACGGGAAAC
RNAcentral lists this ribosomal RNA (549 nucleotides) under uncultured Glomus. Its description in RNAcentral is "SSU rRNA". It matches the Rfam family "Eukaryotic small subunit ribosomal RNA", at positions 548 to 1098 of the family's 1831-position model. Lineage: Eukaryota; Fungi; Glomeromycota; Glomeromycetes; Glomerales; Glomeraceae. The record is from RNAcentral.